Molecule: ribosomal RNA, 419 nt
Filed under: uncultured ammonia-oxidizing beta proteobacterium
Lineage: Bacteria; Pseudomonadati; Pseudomonadota; Betaproteobacteria
Description: bacterial SSU rRNA
Rfam family: Bacterial small subunit ribosomal RNA
Source: RNAcentral
UGGAGGAAAGCAGGGGAUCGUAAGACCUUGCGCUUUUGGAGCGGCCGAUGUCUGAUUAGCUAGUUGGUGGGGUAAUGGCCUACCAAAGCUUCGAUCAGUAGCUGGUCUGAGAGGACGACCAGCCACACUGGGACUGAGACACGGCCCAGACUCCUACGGGAGGCAGCAGUGGGGAAUUUUGGACAAUGGGCGCAAGCCUGAUCCAGCCAUGCCGCGUGAGUGAAGAAGGCCUUCGGGUUGUAAAGCUCUUUCAGCCGGGAAGAAAAGGCUGCGACUAAUAAUCGCAGUUCAUGACGGUACCGGAAGAAGAAGCACCGGCUAACUACGUGCCAGCAGCCGCGGUAAUACGUAGGGUGCGAGCGUUAAUCGGAAUUACUGGGCGUAAAGGGUGCGCAGGCGGUUUUGUAAGUCAGAUGUGA